Molecule: ribosomal RNA, 254 nt
Filed under: uncultured bacterium
Lineage: Bacteria
Description: partial 16S ribosomal RNA
Rfam family: Bacterial small subunit ribosomal RNA
Source: RNAcentral
UACGAAGGGGGCUAGCGUUGUUCGGAAUUACUGGGCGUAAAGCGCGUGUAGGCGGGUCUUUUAAGUCAGGGGUGAAAUGCCAAGGCUCAACCUUGGAACUGCCUUUGAUACUGGAGAUCUUGAGUCCGGGAGAGGUGAGUGGAACUGCGAGUGUAGAGGUGAAAUUCGUAGAUAUUCGCAAGAACACCAGUGGCGAAGGCGGCUCACUGGCCCGGAACUGACGCUGAGACGCGAAAGCGUGGGGAGCGAACAGG